RNAcentral lists this ribosomal RNA (253 nucleotides) under uncultured bacterium. RNAcentral describes it as "partial 16S ribosomal RNA". It matches the Rfam family "Bacterial small subunit ribosomal RNA", at positions 524 to 776 of the family's 1533-position model. The record is from RNAcentral.
GACGUAGGGUGCGAGCGUUGUCCGGAUUUAUUGGGCGUAAAGAGCUCGUAGGCGGCUUGUCGCGUCGACCGUGAAAACUUGGGGCUCAACCCCAAGCCUGCGGUCGAUACGGGCAGGCUAGAGUUCGGUAGGGGAGACUGGAAUUCCUGGUGUAGCGGUGAAAUGCGCAGAUAUCAGGAGGAACACCGGUGGCGAAGGCGGGUCUCUGGGCCGACACUGACGCUGAGGCGCGAAAGCUAGGGGAGCAAACGGG